RNAcentral lists this ribosomal RNA (292 nucleotides) under Vibrio sp. Hep-1b-8. RNAcentral's name for it is "partial 16S ribosomal RNA". It matches the Rfam family "Bacterial small subunit ribosomal RNA", at positions 1 to 264 of the family's 1533-position model. The record is from RNAcentral. Lineage: Bacteria; Pseudomonadati; Pseudomonadota; Gammaproteobacteria; Vibrionales; Vibrionaceae.
AAAUUGAAGAGUUUGAUCAUGGCUCAGAUUGAACGCUGGCGGCAGGCCUAAAACAUGCAAGUCGAGCGGAAACGAGUUAACUGAACCUUCGGGGAACGUUAACGGCGUCGAGCGGCGGACGGGUGAGUAAUGCCUGGGAAAUUGCCCUGAUGUGGGGGAUAACCAUUGGAAACGAUGGCUAAUACCGCAUAAUAGCCCGGUUCUUCGGAAUUGGUCUCAAAGAGGGGGACCUUUUAGGCCUCUCGCGUCAGGAUAUGCCCAGGUGGGAUUAGCUAGUUGGUGAGGUAAUGGC